AGGAUAAACGCUGGCGGCGUGCCUAACACAUGCAAGUCGAACGCGCUUACUAUCCGCGAGGAGGGUGAGCGAGUGGCGGACGGGUGAGGAACACGUGGGUGACCUACCUUUCAGUGAGGGAUACCGGCGAGAAAUUGCCGACAAGACCGCAUACGCUUCUCUUUUCAAGGGGGAGAAGGAAAGCUUUUCGCAAGAGAGGCGCUGGGAGAUGGGCCUGCGGCCGAUUAGCUAGCUGGUGGGGUAAUGGCCUACCAGGGCGACGAUCGGUAGCUGGUCUGAGAGGACGAUCAGCCACACUGGGAUUGAGAACGGCCCAGACUCCUACGGGGGGCAGCAGUGAGGAAUUUUCGGCAAUGGGGGCAACCCUGACCGAGCAACGCCGCGUGCAGGACGACGGCCUUCGGGUUGUAACUGCUUUUCUCUGGGACGAGCGAAGGACGGUACGAGAGGAAGAAGCCCCGGCUAACUACGUGCCAGCAGCCGCGGU
This 487-nucleotide ribosomal RNA is filed under the name uncultured bacterium. Its description in RNAcentral is "SSU rRNA". It matches the Rfam family "Bacterial small subunit ribosomal RNA", at positions 26 to 521 of the family's 1533-position model. The record is from RNAcentral.